This 321-nucleotide long non-coding RNA is filed under the name Canis lupus dingo (dingo). Its description in RNAcentral is "lncRNA (ENSCAFG00020019370.1)". The record is from RNAcentral. Lineage: Eukaryota; Metazoa; Chordata; Mammalia; Carnivora; Canidae.
CGAGAAGGUUCUUAGAUCUCCUAGGAAGGCCAGGCCUCUUUGGGGGUAUUCAGGUCUGAUUUCUCAAGAGCCGCAGAACCGCAGAUGGCAGGGCUGGAAGAGAGCCCGCGGAUGAUUUAAUCCACUCUUUGGAUUUUGCAAUUCUCAGCCACGGGAGGUUAAAGGAGGAGCCGUAUGCUUUUCAGGAAGCCUUGAACAGUGCCGGGGAUAAACUUGUAGUAGUUGACUUCGCAGUCACGUGGUGUGGACCUUGCAAAAUGAUCAAGCCUUUCUUUCAUGUGAGUAUGAAACCGGUUCUGCUUUAGAAGAGAUUCUGUGUUU